This 1041-nucleotide ribosomal RNA is filed under the name uncultured Leptotrichia sp. RNAcentral's name for it is "bacterial SSU rRNA". It matches the Rfam family "Bacterial small subunit ribosomal RNA", at positions 27 to 1092 of the family's 1533-position model. The record is from RNAcentral. Lineage: Bacteria; Fusobacteriati; Fusobacteriota; Fusobacteriia; Fusobacteriales; Leptotrichiaceae.
GGAUGAACGCUGACAGAAUGCUUAACACAUGCAAGUCUUUGGCAAAUCUGUGCUUGCACAGCCUAGCCAAGGCGGACGGGUGAGUAACGCGUAAAGAACUUGCCCUGCAGACAGGGAUAACAGACGGAAACGACUGAUAAUACCUGAUACAAUUGCCAGCACGCAUGUGCCCGGCAAUGAAAAGUGAUGCUGCAGGAGAGCUUUGCGUCCUAUUAGCUUGUUGGUGAGGUAAUGGCUCACCAAGGCGAUGAUAGGUAGCCGGCCUGAGAGGGUGAACGGCCACAAGGGGACUGAGAUACGGCCCUUACUCCUACGGGAGGCAGCAGUGGGGAAUAUUGGACAAUGGGGGAAACCCUGAUCCAGCAAUUCUGUGUGCACGAAGAAGGUUUUCGGAUUGUAAAGUGCUUUCAGCAGGGAAGAAGAAAGUGACGGUACCUGCAGAAGAAGCGACGGCUAAAUACGUGCCAGCAGCCGCGGUAAUACGUAUGUCGCAAGCGUUAUCCGGAAUUAUUGGGCAUAAAGGGCAUCUAGGCGGCCAGACAAGUCUGGGGUGAAAACUUGCGGCUCAACCGCAAGCCUGCCCUGGAAACUGUUUGGCUAGAGUGCUGGAGAGGUGGACGGAACUGCACGAGUAGAGGUGAAAUUCGUAGAUAUGUGCAGGAAUGCCGAUGAUGAAGAUAGUUCACUGGACGGUAACUGACGCUGAAGUGCGAAAGCUGGGGGAGCGAACAGGAUUAGAUACCCUGGUAGUCCCAGCCGUAAACGAUGAUUACUGGGUGUGGGCAUGAAGAGUGUCCGUGCCGAAGCUAAUGCGAUAAGUAAUCCGCCUGGGGAGUACGGCCGCAGGCUGAAACUCAAGGAAUUGACGGGGACCCGCACAAGCGGUGGAGCAUGUGGUUUAAUUCGACGCAACGCGAGACCUUACCAGAUCUUGACAUCCCACGUAUGCCUACGAGAGUAGGCAGUGCCUUCGGGACGUGAGAAGGUGGUGCAUGCCGUUCGACAGCUCGUGUCUGUGAGAUGUUGGGUUAAGUCCGCCAA